GNNGGCUUCCAGUAUUUACAACUUCAUCAACCCUGUGAACAUACCUAUAACGUUGCCUCGGCGGGAACAGACGGCCCCGUAACACGGGCCGCCCCCGCCAGAGGACCCCCUAACUCUGUUUCUAUAAUGUUUCUUCUGAGUAAACAAGCAAAUAAAUUAAAACUUUCAACAACGGAUCUCUUGGCUCUGGCAUCGAUGAAGAACGCAGCGAAAUGCGAUAAGUAAUGUGAAUUGCAGAAUUCAGUGAAUCAUCGAAUCUUUGAACGCACAUUGCGCCCGCCAGUAUUCUGGCGGGCAUGCCUGUUCGAGCGUCAUUACAACCCUCAGGCCCCCGGGCCUGGCGUUGGGGAUCGGCGGAAGCCCCCUGCGGGCACAACGCCGUCCCCCAAAUACAGUGGCGGUCCCGCCGCAGCUUCCAUUGCGUAGUAGCUAACACCUCGCAACUGGAGAGCGGCGCGGCCACGCCGUAAAACACCCAACUUCUGAAUGUUGACCUCGAAUCAGGUAGGAAUACCCGCUGAACUUAAGCAUAUCAAUAAGCGGAGAAAANU
This 551-nucleotide ribosomal RNA is filed under the name Fusarium solani. RNAcentral describes it as "eukaryotic LSU rRNA". The stretch from base 161 to 314 matches the Rfam family "5.8S ribosomal RNA". Lineage: Eukaryota; Fungi; Ascomycota; Sordariomycetes; Hypocreales; Nectriaceae. The record is from RNAcentral.